Long non-coding RNA from Strigops habroptila (Kakapo), 2055 nucleotides. Lineage: Eukaryota; Metazoa; Chordata; Aves; Psittaciformes; Psittacidae. The record is from Ensembl.
AAUUGUAAAAUUUUUAUUGCAAAAUAUUAAAAUAAAUUACAUUUUACAAAGACUUAGCAAAUAUUUACAUACAGUGUGAUUCCAGUGACAAUCAGCAACAAAGAACAGACAGACAGGCAUAUCAUGGAGUGACAGGAGUCAGAACUGUACAAACUUCAAAAGCCAUAUGAAAGACAAGCUAAUUUUUUUAAAAGGUAAAUCCAUCACAAAUGGAACGAAUCCCACGAGGCACAAAAAUUACAAGUCUACAAUAAAGUUCUUGGGUUUUUUUGUUUAGGUCAACAGACUUGUAUAUUGCUUUUUGCUUUCCUCAUCAGUGACGCUUGUCUGUCGCUACACAUACUCUCCCAGAUCAACUGGAAAAAAACAAUAAAAUCAAAAUCUCAACAUAUACAACUGUGUCACCAUGGAUCUGUUAUCAAUCUGGUUUUAUUUCUGCAUGUUUUGUGACAUCUAUUGCCAGCAACAGAUUCACAAACCAUUAGUUCAAAAAAAAUUUAACACAUCACUUUUUGUAUUUCCUCAGUGAUUUCGUACCAGUGUAUUAGAUGUGUUAGACUGCCUGCUGUGAGAUAUGUAUCUGAAAAUGAUGCCCUCCCGGUAAAAAUAAACUUCAAUAGCAGAAGACAAUCAAGAAGUGUCACAAUGAAGUCAAGGAUGGGGUCACAGUCUAUAGCACUUAAGAGGGCUUUUGUAGGAAUAGCCUUUUGUUGUCACAUUUCAAGAUUAUUUUUUUUUAGCAGUGGCUCAUCUUGGCAACAUUAGUAAGUUUAUAUUGUGAAAGGAGACCCAUGCUUCACAUAAUGCGACUGAAAAUACAAUCUAUUUGUAGGCAAUAGCUAGAAAGAAGAGUUUCCAUUUCUAUUCCAUCCCUUCCUUAUAUGCGCUUUCAGGGUUUGGGAUUUUACCCCCCCCUCCCCCUUUUAAAAAAAAUCCCGUUUCCCCUCUUUCUGGGAGGAGAUGUGUCUCACCUAUAAAACCAAUUCCAUAGCAUUAAGACAGCUGUUAACAUUAUAGGUUAACCAAAAUCUUACAUGGCAUCUGAAGAAAAUGUUUCCAGGUCGACCAGGUAAUUGAAAUAAAUAAAAGACUUUACCAAGUAGCAUGGGGGAAUUCACUCACAGGCACUUCUGGGGCUGAAUAACUCAGAAUCCAGUCUGGACGUCCCUCUAACUCACUUCAGAACAUAUAAAUCUGAAGGCAGAAAGACAUUAAUUUGGAUCCCCCAGGCAUCUGCUUUUCUCAAGACGUGGAAGACAGGCAGGCAAAAAGCUGUCUUGCUUAGCACUUCGGCAAUUCUGAGAUGGCACCAUAACUUUAAAAACCCUGGGAAAUGGUUCAACUUCUUGGAAAGAACCAAUAUGAAAGCUAUGCGCCAACUAAAUCCUCCAAAACACUGACUGAAAACAAGUAGGGCUUAACGAGACCAACUGUGAUGGCCCCUGUGUAAAAAGAAAUUUUUUCCCAGUGUUAGGAUUACAUUAAGGCACACGGUGGGAUGUCUUGAGAACAGUUUUGUGAGGUGUGAUCAUGUUUCCCGAAAAAGCAGGAAUAUUAUACUUUGUUUUAAUAAAUUUAAACUAUUACUUUAAAUCCCAUGAUACUUACUACGAAGACUUAGAGUCUAUGCUGACUACACUGGGAAAGGCCAGAGAGCCACAUCUAACUUGAUAAUAUGAAACAGAUCCCAUCCAUUCUCAGCUCUGGCGUACAAGUGCACUUCGCUAUGGAGAACGCAGAGUCUGGGUUGCAGUGUGCAACAUCUCCUCCCAAUCAAAGCAGCCCAGCCAAGUGUCUGGGUUGUAUUAUUUCUGUAUUAAAGAGAGUUUUUAUUUUUUUUUAAAUGGAGAUUGGAGUAUGCUUUUCCAUUUCAUGCACUUUCAGCAAGCCUCUUCUUUCCUGUCUUGUAGCUUUCUAACUGUCACUAAAACUUUGAUCUUUGCAUCAGUAAUGGAAGACAAGUUGGAGAACAACAAAAACUAUAUGGAGUGCUUUCUCAUUUUCUCUGAAGUUAAUGUAUACUUUUUAAAAGAAAAGAAAAAGAGAAGGCUAGAC